Drosophila willistoni is the source of this 350-nucleotide long non-coding RNA. RefSeq lists it as uncharacterized. Lineage: Eukaryota; Metazoa; Arthropoda; Insecta; Diptera; Drosophilidae. The record is from RefSeq and is a predicted model, not a curated record. The transcript has 3 exons.
UUGCUUUUUAGCCAUUUCUUAUAUACCAAGAGUUGAAAAAUUACUGUCUUGCUUUGAUCCAAAAUUAUUCGUUUCUGGACAAGGAAUUGAACAGCUUUGCAGUCCGGAUGAUGGUUAUUACUUUUUCAACUAUUGGACAUAUUGUCCGUAUGGAAUACCAUAAAUUGUUAUGGGAAAGAGACAAUUCAACUUGAAAUAAAAUAUGCACCAAUUUUUAUGAUAAUUAACACUUGUGGAAUAUUAAACGGCAAAAACGAUCAUUGGAGGAAUAAGUCUUUUAAAAUUCUUUUAACGAUUUCUUGUUGGUGAUAAUUUUAAGAGAAAGAUAUAAAUGUAAAUUAUUUAAAAUA